Oncorhynchus keta (chum salmon) is the source of this 1780-nucleotide long non-coding RNA. RefSeq lists it as uncharacterized. The record is from RefSeq and is a predicted model, not a curated record. Lineage: Eukaryota; Metazoa; Chordata; Actinopteri; Salmoniformes; Salmonidae. The transcript is spliced from 3 exons.
GGAGAGAGACACACAUUACCCUGGUAGUCACUUUAAAGACGACAGACACUACAUGCCUAAUACUGGGGAGUGGGGUGGAUCAGAUUGACUCUACUCCCUGGUAGUUCAUCUAUAGAAGCAACGAUAGAUGUGCAGUGUAAGGCUGGUCUUCAGGGAGACAUUACCCUGGUAGUUCAUCUAUAGAACUGUCCGAUACAUCUCAUGUGGAGUGUCAGGUCUGUCGGGUAGAUACAUUACCCUUGGAGUCAGUUUAAAGACUAGAUACACUAUGAUAAUGUGGAGUGUCAGGUCUGUCAAGGAGAGACAUUACCCCUGGAGUCAGUUUAAAGACUAGAUACACUAUGAUAAUGUGGAGUGGGGUGUCAGGUCUGUCAAGGAGAGACAUUACCCCUGGAGUCACUUUAAAGACUAGAUACACUAUGAUAAUGUGGAGUGUCAGGUCUGUGAAGGAGAGACAUUACCCCUGGAGUCACUUUAAAGACUAGAUACACUAUGAUAAUGUGGAGUGGGGUGUCAGGUCUGACAAGGAGAGACAUUACCCCUGGAGUCAGUUUAAAGACUAGAUACACUAUGAUAAUGUGGAGUGUCAGGUCUGUGAAGGAGAGACAUUACCCCUGGAGUCACUUUAAAGACUAGAUACACUAUGAUAAUGUGGAGUGGGGUGUCAGGUCUGACAGGGAGAGACAUUACCCCUGGAGUCACUUUAAAGACUAGAUACACUAUGAUAAUGUGGAGUGGGGUGUCAGGUCUGACAGGGAGAGACAUUACCCCUGGAGUCACUUUAAAGACUAGAUACACUAUGAUAAUGUGGAGUGGGGUUGACUACAGUAACUUAUAGAUGUAGAGGUGGUCUCCGAGACUCAGGGUUUAGUCUAGUGCUGGACUACAAACCAAGCUCAACAGAGAAUCUACAUUGAAAAUGAUUUUUUAGUCCAUGAUUAAGCUUCACCUGUGUCUGGGAAACAGUCCCCUGGUGUGUAGUGAGACGUCACUCAGGGCUUCCAGGGAGACACAUACUACUCUGUGGGUUCAGUCACUACGGUAGAUAGACUUCACCUAUUGGGGUGUGGAGUUGACUAUAUAGUCACUUUGUAGACUAGACAGUCUAUACAUCUACCAGGGAGAGAGAUGUCAGUCACUUUGUAGACUAGACAGUCUAUACAUCUACCAGGGAGAGAGAUGUCAGUCACUUUGUAGACUAGACAGUCUAUACAUCUACCAGGGAGAGAGAUGUCAGUCACUUUGUAGACUAGACAGUCUAUACAUCUACCAGGGAGAGAGAUGUCAGUCACUUUGUAGACUAGACAGUCUAUACAUCUACCAGGGAGCGAGAUGUCAGUCACUUUGUAGACUAGACAGUCUAUACAUCUACCAGGGAGAGAGAUGUCAGUCACUUUGUAGACUAGACAGUCUAUACAUCUACCAGGGAGAGAGAUGUCAGUCACUUUGUAGACUAAACAGUUUAUACAUCUACCAGGGAGCGAGAUGUCAGUCACUUUGUAGACUAGACAGUCUAUACAUCUACCAGGGAGAGAGAUGUCAGUCACUUUGUAGACUAGACAGCCUAUACAUCUACCAGGGAGAUAGAGAGAGAAUGUGGGUUCACAGUCAGACUGGAGAACCCAGUAGGGCUGAUCAGAGAGCCUAUAUCUAGUGAGAUGUCUGAUGUAUUUACCUGGCUGUGGGUACAGCCAGUCACCCUGUAGAGAUAAGACUGGAGAACCUACUAGGGAUGUAUAUCAGUGAGAUCUUCAGUGGUCUCUGUGUGAGUUCAUGCCAA